GACGAACGCUGGCGGCGUGCUUAACACAUGCAAGUCGAACGGAAAGGCCCUGCCUUUGUGGGGUGCUCGAGUGGCGAACGGGUGAGUAACACGUGAGUAACCUGCCCUUGACUUUGGGAUAACUUCAGGAAACUGGGUCUAAUACCGGAUAGGAGCUCCUGCUGCAUGGUGUGGGUUGGAAAGUUUCGGCGGGUGGGGAUCGGCUCGCGGCUUAUCAGCUUGUUGGUGGGGUAGUGGCUUACCAAGGCUUUGACGGGUAGCCGGCCUGAGAGGGUGACCGGCCACAUUGGGACUGAGAUACGGCCCAGACUCCUACGGGAGGCAGCAGUGGGGAAUAUUGCACAAUGGGCGGAAGCCUGAUGCAGCAACGCCGCGUGCGGGAUGACGGCCUUCGGGUUGUAAACCGCUUUCGCCUGUGACGAAGCGUAAGUGACGGUAACUGGUAAAGAAGCACCGGCUAACUACGUG
Molecule: ribosomal RNA, 468 nt
Filed under: uncultured bacterium
Lineage: Bacteria
Description: partial 16S ribosomal RNA
Rfam family: Bacterial small subunit ribosomal RNA
Source: RNAcentral